RNAcentral lists this long non-coding RNA (1889 nucleotides) under Mus musculus (house mouse). Its description in RNAcentral is "predicted gene 20546". The record is from RNAcentral. Lineage: Eukaryota; Metazoa; Chordata; Mammalia; Rodentia; Muridae.
AGUUCCCUGGGUGUAGCCUAGCGAUGGAGGCCCAUAGUCACUCAGCACCUGGCGUUAUUGGGAGGAGGUCGCCUUCCUAGUAGACCCCCUGGUUCUUCUGGAACUCAUGACACAGAUGAGGAUGCCUCUACCUCUCCAGUGCUUGGAUUAAAGGGGCAUACAUCUCAUAGUUGGUGCAGGAAAUCCACUUUUGCACACCAUAACCUGUAUCCUAUUGCCGCAGACCUUCUGGGUCCCUGUGUCUGCGUGGAACGGGGUCUCUCGACGCGGGUGGGCAAAGCGUGGAUGAAUGACAGACAGACACACACACAGGAGAGUUUGUGUGGAAUCUGAAUGUAAUUUUUCAAAUCGAACAUCAGACUUUUUAUGCAGAAGACAACAAGGUACAAAUAAGGCAGAUCUGUGGUUUGCUGGUCAGCAGCUUCAGCCUGUUGUUUGCCCUUUGCUCCCCUCUUCCCUUUUAUCUGCACUUUUUCGUUUGAUAUUUAUCCUUUCCCGUGGCUUUUUUUGGCUUGGGAGGGGCGGGCUUGACCGAUAGCCUCGCGGAGCGGCGCUUGGGUUCCGCCUCCAUCCGUGUUAACCUUCCUCUUGGGCAUCCUGGCGGCGCGAAGUGGGAGAGGCGUGUGUCACCGGAUCUGUCCCGAGCUGCACCACCAAGCCCUCACCACACUAACUGCUGCGACCCGUCGCAGGGGCGGUGGGAGAACCGGAUCGUCUUAGCCUCUUGAACAGCUGGGACUACAGUGCUGAUCAGGGUGCCAGGCUGAACCAAAUGUUUAUUCUAUUUGAAGAACUCUUUGAUAGCCUGAGAGUCUUUGCUGUAGUCCUUAGAGUAUGCAUAUGACUGCAGCUGACUCUUAGAGGAACCAGAACACGUGAACAAACCACAAAGAUUUAUGAGGGAACUACAUUCAUGUGUAUGUAUGAGAGUAUGUUAUGUGCGCUGUGUGCAGGAGCCCAAAGAGAUCAGAUGUUAGAGCCUCAGAACUGGAGUUAUGGGCAAUUGUGAGCUGCUAUGUGGAUACUGGGAACCAAACCCUGGUCCUCUGCAAAAGCAGCAAGCGUAGUUAUCUCUCCAACCCCCCAGAUUCUGUUUUUCCCUCCUGGAACUUGAUCUUAAUGGUCUCCUAUACAAGGGGAAUCAAUCUCUCUCUCUCUCUCUCUCUCUCUCUUAAAAAAGUAUAUUGUAGCUGUUUUCUUUCUUUCUUUUUUCUUUUUUUUGAUUUAUGUAUUUAUUUUAUGCAUGAGUACACUGUAGUUGUCCUCAGACACACCAGAAGAGGGCACUGAGUAGCAUUACAGAUGGUUGUGAGCCACCAUGUGGUUGCUGGGAUUUGAACUUAGGACCUCUGGAAGAGCAGUCAUUGCUCUUGACCGCUAAGCCAUCUCUCCAGCCCAGGGAAUCUUUUGAUUGAACUAUGACAUCAGAACUCAAGUUUUCCUGCUCCUAUGCUGGGGAUGAUGCAGAUCAGUUGAUAGAGUGCUUGCCUUGCAUGCACAGGGUUCAAUCCUCGGCACCACGGAAAAACUGUGCAAAGCUUUUGGGGCCACUUCUAGAAACGUGGCAGGAAUUUGACCUUGGGCCAGGAUACGGAAGUAAGCUCAGGCAGGAAUUUGACUGUGGGCUAGAACAAAUAGACCUCAGGCAGGAAAUUGACUUUGGUCUAGGACUCUGAAGUAGGCAAAAGAUGAAUGCAGCUGAGGAAUGUGUUCUUUGUAUCUUGACGGUUCUUGUUAAGACCCUGAAUACAGUACUCAUGAGACCUUUCAUCUAUAUUUUGUUUGCUCCUUACCUACCCAGUCCAUGCCUUGUUUGUUCCUUAACUACUUUAUGACUUAAGACUGACCAUAUUCUUUGUAUAUACCUAGAAUGAUAUAAAAGCAGACUG